AGUGAACGCUGGCGGUAGGCCUAACACAUGCAAGUCGAACGGCAGCACAGUAAGAGCUUGCUCUUACGGGUGGCGAGUGGCGGACGGGUGAGGAAUACAUCGGAAUCUACUUUUUCGUGGGGGAUAACGUAGGGAAACUUACGCUAAUACCGCAUACGACCUACGGGUGAAAGCAGGGGAUCUUCGGACCUUGCGCGUUUGAAUGAGCCGAUGUCGGAUUAGCUAGUUGGCGGGGUAAAGGCCCACCAAGGCGACGAUCCGUAGCUGGUCUGAGAGGAUGAUCGGCCACACUGGAACUGAGACACGGUCCAGACUCCUACGGGAGGCAGCAGUGGGGAAUAUUGGACAAUGGGCGCAAGCCUGAUCCAGCCAUACCGCGUGGGUGAAGAAGGCCUUCGGGUUGUAAAGCCCUUUUGUUGGGAAAGAAAAGCAGCAGGUUAAUACCCCGCUGUUCUGACGGUACCCAAAGAAUAAGCACCGGCUAACUUCGUG
RNAcentral lists this ribosomal RNA (492 nucleotides) under uncultured bacterium. RNAcentral describes it as "partial 16S ribosomal RNA". It matches the Rfam family "Bacterial small subunit ribosomal RNA", at positions 29 to 507 of the family's 1533-position model. The record is from RNAcentral.